This 494-nucleotide ribosomal RNA is filed under the name uncultured bacterium. RNAcentral's name for it is "partial 16S ribosomal RNA". It matches the Rfam family "Bacterial small subunit ribosomal RNA", at positions 28 to 506 of the family's 1533-position model. The record is from RNAcentral.
GACGAACGCUGGCGGCGUGCCUAAUACAUGCAAGUAGAACGCUGAAAGAGGAGCUUGCUUCUCCUGAUGAGUUGCGAAGGGGUGAGUAACGCGUAGGUAACCUGACUGGUAUCGUGGUAUGACUAUUGGAAACGAUAGCUAAUACCGCAUAACAGUAGAUAUCGCAGUAUAUCUGCUGGAAAUUUGGAAUUUCAUCACUACCAGAUGGACCUGCGUUGUAUUAUCUAGUUGGUGGGGUAACGGCUCACCAAGGCGAAGAUACAUAUGCGACAUGAGAGGGUGAUCGGCCACAGUGGGACUGAGGAACGGCCCAGACUCCUCCGGGAGGAAGCAGUAGGGAAUCGUCGGCAAUGGACGGAAGUCUGACCGAGCAACGCAGGGUGAGUGAAGAAGGUUGUCGGAUCGUAAAGCUCUGUUGUAAGAGAAGAACGAGUGUGAGAGUGGAAAGUUCACACUGUGACGGUAUCUUACCAGAAAGGGACGGCUAACUACGU